This 496-nucleotide ribosomal RNA is filed under the name uncultured bacterium. Its description in RNAcentral is "partial 16S ribosomal RNA". It matches the Rfam family "Bacterial small subunit ribosomal RNA", at positions 29 to 507 of the family's 1533-position model. The record is from RNAcentral.
AUGAACGCUGGCGGCGUGCCUAAUCCCUGCAAGUCGCGCGAACAGACGAGGAGCUUGCUCCUCUGGCGUUAGCGGCGGACGGGUGAGUAACACGUGGAUAACCUACCUAUAAGACUGGGAUAACUUCGGGAAACCGGAGCUAAUACCGGAUAAUAUAUUGAACCGCAUGGUUCAAUAGUGAAAGACGGUUUUGCUGUCACUUAUAGAUGGAUCCGCGCCGCAUUAGCUAGUUGGUAAGGUAACGGCUUACCAAGGCAACGAUGCGUAGCCGACCUGAGAGGGUGAUCGGCCACACUGGAACUGAGACACGGUCCAGACUCCUACGGGAGGCAGCAGUAGGGAAUCUUCCGCAAUGGGCGAAAGCUUGACGGAGCAACGCCGCGUGAGUGAUGAAGGUCUUCGGAUCGUAAAACUCUGUUAUUAGGGAAGAACAAAUGUGUAAGUAACUAUGCACGUCUUGACGGUACCUAAUCAGAAAGCCACGGCUAACUACGUG